UCAUGAGAACCAAUUGCUACAACAGUAGAGGAAAGUCCGGGCAUCCACAAUCUGCGAUGAUUGUAGUGUUUGUACUGCGUCUAAUAAAUGCAGGUAGCUUUUUGCUAACGACAGAUGGAAGACCUAAACCUUCUGGCAAGGUUGUGAAAUCAUAAAGUGCCACAGAAACAAAUGCGUUUUGAAAAGAACGAAUGAAAAGAGGUAAACUCUGCAAGGAUGAAACCCAAAUUUUGGUAGGGGAAUCUAGUUUUGAAGAAUUGAAUUCAAGACAGAAUGCAUUAUGCAUAGAUAAAUAAUUGGUUGAAAAACAGAACUCGGCUUAUCA
Non-coding RNA from Coprobacillus sp., 325 nucleotides. It matches the Rfam family "Bacterial RNase P class B". From Rfam's summary of the family: Ribonuclease P (RNase P) is a ubiquitous endoribonuclease, found in archaea, bacteria and eukarya as well as chloroplasts and mitochondria. Its best characterised activity is the generation of mature 5'-ends of tRNAs by cleaving the 5'-leader elements of precursor-tRNAs. The record is from Rfam. NCBI's taxonomy places the organism in Bacteria, Bacillati, Bacillota, Erysipelotrichia, Erysipelotrichales, Coprobacillaceae.